Molecule: transfer RNA, 84 nt
Filed under: Shewanella sediminis HAW-EB3
Lineage: Bacteria; Pseudomonadati; Pseudomonadota; Gammaproteobacteria; Alteromonadales; Shewanellaceae
Also listed under: 1 other name
Rfam family: tRNA
About the family: Transfer RNA (tRNA) molecules are approximately 80 nucleotides in length. Their secondary structure includes four short double-helical elements and three loops (D, anti-codon, and T loops).
Source: Rfam by way of RNAcentral
GCGGAUGUGGUGGAAUUGGUAGACACGCCAGCUUGAGGGGCUGGUGAGCGCAAGCUCGUGGGGGUUCAAGUCCCCCCAUCCGCA